UUAAAUUGAAGAGUUUGAUCAUGGCUCAGAUUGAACGCUGGCGGCAGGCCUAACACAUGCAAGUCGAGCGGUAGCACAGAGAGCUUGCUC
RNAcentral lists this ribosomal RNA (90 nucleotides) under Klebsiella aerogenes. RNAcentral describes it as "partial 16S ribosomal RNA". It matches the Rfam family "Bacterial small subunit ribosomal RNA", at positions 1 to 85 of the family's 1533-position model. Lineage: Bacteria; Pseudomonadati; Pseudomonadota; Gammaproteobacteria; Enterobacterales; Enterobacteriaceae. RNAcentral also lists the same sequence under 4 other names. The record is from RNAcentral.